Molecule: ribosomal RNA, 433 nt
Filed under: uncultured bacterium
Lineage: Bacteria
Description: partial 16S ribosomal RNA
Rfam family: Bacterial small subunit ribosomal RNA
Source: RNAcentral
AACGAACGCUGGCGGCAUGCCUAACACAUGCAAGUCGAACGAGACCUUCGGGUCUAGUGGCGCACGGGUGCGUAAGGCGUGGGAACCUGCCCUUAGGUUCGGAAUAACUCCCCGAAAGGGGUGCUAAUACCGGAUAAUGUCUUAGGACCAAAGAUUUAUUGCCUUUGGAUGGGCCCUCGUUGGAUUAGCGAGUUGGUAGGGUAAAAGCCUACCAAGGGGAUGAUGCAUAGCUGGUCGGAGAGGAUGAUCAGCCACACUGGGACUGAGACACGGCCCAGACUCCUACGGAAGGGAGCAGAGGGGAAUAUAGGACAAUGGGGGAAAGCCUGAUCCAGCAAUGCCGCGUAAGUGAUGAAGGCCGUAGGGUUGUAAAGCUCUUUUACCCGGGAUGAUAAUGACAGUACCGGGUGAAUAAGCUCCGGCUAACUCCGUG